GGCUCAGGAUGAACGCUAGCGGCAGGCUUAAUACAUGCGAAGUCGUGGGGCAGCAUGAGUAGCAAUACUUGAUGGCGACCGGCAAACGGGUGAGGAACACGUACACAACCUUCCUUCAAGCGGGGAAUAGCCCAGAGAAAUUUGGAUUAAUACCCCAUAAUAUAUUUGAUAAGGCAUCUUAUUAAUAUUAAAGCUUCGGCACUUGAUGAUGGGUGUGCGGCUGAUUAGAUAGUUGGCGGGGUAACGGCCCACCAAGUCUACGAUCAGUAGCUGAUGUGAGAGCAUGAUCAGCCACACGGGCACUGAGACACGGGCCCGACUCCUACGGGAGGCAGCAGUAAGGAUAUUGGACAAUGGACGAAAGUCUGAUCCAGCCAUGCCGCGUGAAGGAUUAAGGUCCUCUGGAUUGUAAACUUCUUUUAUAUGGGACGAAAAAGGGCAUUCUUGUUCACUUGACGGUACCAUAUGAAUAAGCACCGGCUAACUCCGUG
Molecule: ribosomal RNA, 491 nt
Filed under: uncultured bacterium
Lineage: Bacteria
Description: bacterial SSU rRNA
Rfam family: Bacterial small subunit ribosomal RNA
Source: RNAcentral